This 75-nucleotide transfer RNA is filed under the name Planctomycetota bacterium. RNAcentral's name for it is "Planctomycetes bacterium tRNA-Gln". It matches the Rfam family "tRNA". From Rfam's summary of the family: Transfer RNA (tRNA) molecules are approximately 80 nucleotides in length. Their secondary structure includes four short double-helical elements and three loops (D, anti-codon, and T loops). The record is from RNAcentral. Lineage: Bacteria; Pseudomonadati; Planctomycetota.
UACCCCGUGGUGUAAUUGGCAACACUGUAGAUUCUGGUUCUACCAUUCCUGGUUCGAGUCCAGGCGGGGUAACCA